Molecule: ribosomal RNA, 454 nt
Filed under: uncultured bacterium
Lineage: Bacteria
Description: partial 16S ribosomal RNA
Rfam family: Bacterial small subunit ribosomal RNA
Source: RNAcentral
AACGAACGCUGGUGGUAUGCUUAACACAUGCAAGUCGAACGGGCAUAGCAAUAUGUCAGUGGCAAACGGGUGAGGAAUAUAUAGGAAUCUACCUAGCGGUAAGGAAUAACUUUGGGAAACCAAAGCUAAUGCCAUAUAUUACCGAUUUAUCGGGAAAGAUUUAUCGCUGUUAGAUGAGCCUGUAUCGGAUUAGCUAGUUGGUAGGGUAAGAGCCUACCAAGGCAAUGAUCCGUAGCUGGUCUGGAAGGAUGAUCAGCCACAUUGGGAAUGCGAAACGGGCCAAACUCCUACGGGAGGCAGCAGUGGGGAAUAUUGGACAAUGGACGCAAGUCUGAUCCAGCAAUACCACGUGAGUGAUGAAGGCCUUCGGGUUGUAAAACUCUUUUAGUAGGGAAGAUAAUGACGGUACCUACAGAAAAAGCACCGGCUAACUUCGUGCCAGCCGCCGCGGUAA